GACAGAGGGUGCAAACGUUGUUCGGAAUUACUGGGCGUAAAGCGCGUGUAGGCGGCUUGGCAAGUCGGGUGUGAAAGCCCCGGGCUCAACCUGGGAAGUGCACUCGAAACUGCUUGGCUUGAGUACUGGAGAGGGAAGCGGAAUUCUCGGUGUAGAGGUGAAAUUCGUAGAUAUCGGAAGGAACAUCAGUGGCGAAAGCGACUUCCUGGACCAGUACCGACGUUCAGGCACGAAAGCGUGGGGAGCAAACAGG
Molecule: ribosomal RNA, 253 nt
Filed under: uncultured bacterium
Lineage: Bacteria
Description: partial 16S ribosomal RNA
Rfam family: Bacterial small subunit ribosomal RNA
Source: RNAcentral